CUACGGGUCGCUGCAGUAACGAAUAUUGUGCAAUGGGCGAAAGCCUGACACAGCGACGCCGCGUGUAGGAGGAAGUCCCUCGGGAUGUAAACUACUGUCAGGGUGAAGAAAGUCUGUUUCGGCAGAUUGAUCUAACCCGGGGGAAGUCACGGCUAACUGUCGUGCCAGCAGCCGCGGUAAGACGAAGGUGGCAAGCGUUGUUCGGUAUUACUGGGCUUAAAGCGUGUGUAGGCGGAUAAAUAAGCGUUUUGUGAAAUCCCUCAGCUCAACUGAGGAAUUGCUUGACGAACUGUUUAUCUUGAGGCAAGUAGGGGUGCACGGAACUCUUGGUGGAGCGGUGGAAUGCGUAGAUAUCAAGAGGAACGCCAGUGGUGAAGACGGUGCACUGGGCUUGUUCUGACGCUGAGACACGAAAGCGUGGGGAGCAAACAGGAUUAGAUACCCGAGUAGUC
Molecule: ribosomal RNA, 452 nt
Filed under: uncultured bacterium
Lineage: Bacteria
Description: partial 16S ribosomal RNA
Rfam family: Bacterial small subunit ribosomal RNA
Source: RNAcentral